UACGGAGGGGGCGAGCGUUAUUCGGAAUUAUUGGGCGUAAAGGGCGCGUAGGCGGCCAUUCAAGUCGGGGGUGAAAGCCUGUGGCUCAACCACAGAAUUGCCUUCGAUACUGUUUGGCUUGAGACCGGAAGAGGUUAGUGGAACUGCGAGUGUAGAGGUGAAAUUCGUAGAUAUUCGCAAGAACACCAGUGGCGAAGGCGGCUAACUGGUCCGGUUCUGACGCUGAGGCGCGAAAGCGUGGGGAGCAAACAGG
This 253-nucleotide ribosomal RNA is filed under the name uncultured bacterium. Its description in RNAcentral is "partial 16S ribosomal RNA". It matches the Rfam family "Bacterial small subunit ribosomal RNA", at positions 524 to 776 of the family's 1533-position model. The record is from RNAcentral.